GAUCAUGGCUCAGAUUGAGCGCUGGCGGCAUGCCUUACACAUGCAAGUCGAACGGCAGCGGGCCUUCGGGGUGCCGGCGAGUGGCGAACGGGUGAGUAAUGCAUCGGAACGUGCCAUUGAGUGGGGGAUAACGUAGCGAAAGUUACGCUAAUACCGCAUAUUCUGUGGGCAGGAAAGCAGGGGACCGCAAGGCCUUGCGCUCUUUGAGCGGCCGAUGUCAGAUUAGCUAGUUGGUGAGGUAAAGGCUUACCAAGGCGACGAUCUGUAGCGGGUCUGAGAGGAUGAUCCGCCACACUGGAACUGAGACACGGUCCAGACUCCUACGGGAGGCAGCAGUGGGGAAUUUUGGACAAUGGGCGCAAGCCUGAUCCAGCCAUGCCGCGUGAGUGAAGAAGGCCUUCGGGUUGUAAAGCUCUUUCGGCCGGGAAGAAAUCGCAUGGGUUAAUACCCUGUGUGGAUGACGGUACCGGAAUAAGAAGCACCGGCUAACUACGUG
Molecule: ribosomal RNA, 496 nt
Filed under: uncultured bacterium
Lineage: Bacteria
Description: bacterial SSU rRNA
Rfam family: Bacterial small subunit ribosomal RNA
Source: RNAcentral